AAUAUUAAAGAAAAGGUUAUUGUUUAUAUAAAAAGUUUUAGAUUUUCAUGUUCCAAUCUAUUUUAAAAAUAUUUAUAGAUUUAAAUUUUUGUUAAUGAGCUGUUAACAUUUUUCAAAAUAUUAAAGAAAAGGUAAUUGUUUAUAGAAAAAGUUUUAGAUUUUUACGUUCCAAUCUAUUUUAAAAAUAUUUAUAGAGUUAAAUUUUUGUUAAUGAACAGUUAGCAAUAACCGUUAGUUAUAUAAUAUAAAUCUUUCAAAAUAUUAAAAAAAGUAAUUGUUUAUAUAAAAAUAAAUAAAAUGUUUUUAAAAUUUUGAAAGAUAUAUAGGUUGUUAUUAUUAUUCCUUGAAAAGAGAACAAAACUGCGGAGUGCCCUCCACUAAAUUUUACCUUUCUUUUUCUUUUUUUUCUUUUUUUUUUUUUUUUUUUUUUUUUUUUUUNACCCCUU
This 446-nucleotide long non-coding RNA is filed under the name Ananas comosus (pineapple). RNAcentral describes it as "long non-coding RNA (ACOM_LNC002772)". The record is from RNAcentral. Lineage: Eukaryota; Viridiplantae; Streptophyta; Magnoliopsida; Poales; Bromeliaceae.